UACGUAGGGGGCAAGCGUUGUCCGGAAUUAUUGGGCGUAAAGAGCGCGUAGGCGGUCCGAUAAGUCGGCUGUGAAAGUCAGGGGCUCAACCCUUGAAAGCCGGCCGAUACUGUCGGACUAGAGUCCGGAAGAGGCAAGUGGAAUUCCCGGUGUAGCGGUGAAAUGCGCAGAUAUCGGGAGGAACACCAGCGGCGAAGGCGGCGCUCUGGGCCGAUACUGACGCUGAGACGCGAAAGCGUGGGGAGCAAACAGG
This 253-nucleotide ribosomal RNA is filed under the name uncultured bacterium. RNAcentral describes it as "partial 16S ribosomal RNA". It matches the Rfam family "Bacterial small subunit ribosomal RNA", at positions 524 to 776 of the family's 1533-position model. The record is from RNAcentral.